CGACGGGUGAGUAACGCGUGGGUAACCUGCCUUGCACUGGGGGAUAACACUUAGAAAUAGGUGCUAAUACCGCAUAAGCGCACGGUCCUGCAUGGGACAGUGUGAAAAACUCCGGUGGUGCAAGAUGGACCCGCGUCUGAUUAGCUGGUUGGCGGGGUAAAGGCCCACCAAGGCGACGAUCAGUAGCCGGCCUGAGAGGGUGAACGGCCACAUUGGGACUGAGACACGGCCCAGACUCCUACGGAAGGCAGCAG
This 254-nucleotide ribosomal RNA is filed under the name uncultured bacterium. RNAcentral describes it as "partial 16S ribosomal RNA". It matches the Rfam family "Bacterial small subunit ribosomal RNA", at positions 100 to 354 of the family's 1533-position model. The record is from RNAcentral.